CACCCCAUCCAGCUACCUUUGCGUGGCUGCGGUGUUGGGGCACGUCGCGGUGCGGCGGCCCUUAAAGACAGUGGCGGUCCCGGCGUGGGCUCUACGCGUAGUAACUUGCUUCUCGCGACAGAGUGACGACGGUCGGCCUGCCAGAAAGCUCAUUUGUUCCAGUCACAUGGAUCAUA
RNAcentral lists this unclassified non-coding RNA (176 nucleotides) under Erysiphe hedwigii. RNAcentral describes it as "sequence contains ITS2". The record is from RNAcentral. Lineage: Eukaryota; Fungi; Ascomycota; Leotiomycetes; Helotiales; Erysiphaceae.